RNAcentral lists this ribosomal RNA (1846 nucleotides) under Salmonella enterica. RNAcentral's name for it is "partial 23S ribosomal RNA". It matches the Rfam family "Bacterial large subunit ribosomal RNA", at positions 1 to 1773 of the family's 2925-position model. Lineage: Bacteria; Pseudomonadati; Pseudomonadota; Gammaproteobacteria; Enterobacterales; Enterobacteriaceae. The record is from RNAcentral.
GGGUUGUGAGGUUAAGCGACUAAGCGUACACGGUGGAUGCCCUGGCAGUCAGAGGCGAUGAAGGGCGUGCUAAUCUGCGAUAAGCGCCGGUAAGGUGAUAUAAACCGUUAUAACCGGCGAUACCCGAAUGGGGAAACCCAGUGUGAUUCGUCACACUAUCAUUAACUGAAUCCAUAGGUUAAUGAGGCGAACCGGGGGAACUGAAACAUCUAAGUACCCCGAGGAAAAGAAAUCAACCGAGAUUCCCCCAGUAGCGGCGAGCGAACGGGGAGGAGCCCAGAGCCUGAAUCAGCAUGUGUGUUAGUGGAAGCGUCUGGAAAGGCGCGCGAUACAGGGUGACAGCCCCGUACACAAAAGCGCAUAUGCUGUGAGCUCGAUGAGUAGGGCGGGACACGUGGUAUCCUGUCUGAAUAUGGGGGGACCAUCCUCCAAGGCUAAAUACUCCUGACUGACCGAUAGUGAACCAGUACCGUGAGGGAAAGGCGAAAAGAACCCCGGCGAGGGGAGUGAAAAAGAACCUGAAACCGUGUACGUACAAGCAGUGGGAGCCCCACCACCAAAGCAUUCUCUGGUGUUGAAGGCCCUGCAAAGCAGCAUCGCGGUGGCGGAGCGUCGUUUGCGACGCCCAACACACAAAACAAGCGGUGAAUGCUUUGGGGUGGGGUGACUGCGUACCUUUUGUAUAAUGGGUCAGCGACUUAUAUUCUGUAGCAAGGUUAACCGAAUAGGGGAGCCGGAGGGAAACCGAGUCUUAACCGGGCGUUAAGUUGCAGGGUAUAGACCCGAAACCCGGUGAUCUAGCCAUGGGCAGGUUGAAGGUUGGGUAACACUAACUGGAGGACCGAACCGACUAAUGUUGAAAAAUUAGCGGAUGACCUGUGGCUGGGGGUGAAAGGCCAAUCAAACCGGGAGAUAGCUGGUUCUCCCCGAAAGCUAUUUAGGUAGCGCCUCGUGAAUUCAUCUCCGGGGGUAGAGCACUGUUUCGGCUAGGGGGCCAUCCCGGCUUACCAACCCGAUGCAAACUGCGAAUACCGGAGAAUGUUAUCACGGGAGACACACGGCGGGUGCUAACGUCCGUCGUGAAGAGGGAAACAACCCAGACCGCCAGCUAAGGUCCCAAAGUCAUGGUUAAGUGGGAAACGAUGUGGGAAGGCCCAGACAGCCAGGAUGUUGGCUUAGAAGCAGCCAUCAUUUAAAGAAAGCGUAAUAGCUCACUGGUCGAGUCGGCCUGCGCGGAAGAUGUAACGGGGCUAAACCAUGCACCGAAGCUGCGGCAGCGACGCUUAUGCGUUGUUGGGUAGGGGAGCGUUCUGUAAGCCUGUGAAGGUGGCCUGUGAGGGUUGCUGGAGGUAUCAGAAGUGCGAAUGCUGACAUAAGUAACGAUAAAGCGGGUGAAAAGCCCGCUCGCCGGAAGACCAAGGGUUCCUGUCCAACGUUAAUCGGGGCAGGGUGAGUCGACCCCUAAGGCGAGGCCGAAAGGCGUAGUCGAUGGGAAACGGGUUAAUAUUCCCGUACUUGGUGUUACUGCGAAGGGGGGACGGAGAAGGCUAUGUUGGCCGGGCGACGGUUGUCCCGGUUUAAGCGUGUAGGCUGGUUUUCCAGGCAAAUCCGGAAAAUCAAGGCUGAGGCGUGAUGACGAGGCACUACGGUGCUGAAGCAACAAAUGCCCUGCUUCCAGGAAAAGCCUCUAAGCAUCAGGUAACAUCAAAUCGUACCCCAAACCGACACAGGUGGUCAGGUAGAGAAUACCAAGGCGCUUGAGAGAACUCGGGUGAAGGAACUAGGCAAAAUGGUGCCGUAACUUCGGGAGAAGGCACGCUGACACGUAGGUGAAGUGAUUUACUCA